UAAAAACGGCAACAACUGAAGCCAGAGGCUGCAGGGAGGGGAAGUGAGGAGACGUCCUUUAACGGGUGCAGAGUUUCAGUUUUGGGGAGUGAGAGCGUUCUGGAGAUCUCUUUUUUCUUUUUGAGAUGGAGUUUUGCUCUUGUUACCCAGGCUGGAGUGCAAUGGCGCGAUCUCGGCUCACCGCAACCUCCGCCUCCUGGGUUCAGGCAAUUCUCCUGCCUCAGCCUCCUGAGCAACUGGGAUUAUAGGCACGCGCCACCGUGCCCAGCUAAUUUUUUGUAUUUUUAGUAGAGACGGGGUUUCACCAUGUUGACGAGAUGGUCUCGAUCUCUUGACCUCGUGAUCCACCCGCCUCGGCCUCCCAAAGUGCUGGGAUUACAGGCGUGAGCCACCGCGCCGGGCCCUGGAGAUCUCUUACACAUCAAUGUGCAUGUACGUUACACCAUGGCAUUGGACCCUGAGAAGUGGGUGAAGUGGUAAAUUUUAAGUUACGUGUUUUUUUUUUUUUUUACCAUAAUUAGAAAACCCAGAAGUCUAGAUGACCGACUCACAGGAUACUUUUCAUGAUGUCAUCGCUGUCUCCCGAAAACAGGUGCAACCUGCGGACUCAGGGCUAGGGGGUUCACAUUUCCGCACAUGAAAGAAAAGCUCAUUGUUGACGGCCUGUCAGGGGUGGUGAGGGGCGCCUAAUGAACAACAGCACAGACUUUUUACGUAAGUCUUCUGCCCAGAAGUUGGAGGAAUUUAAACGACUGCUUCCUCCAAUCGUGGUUCAGAAGGCAGGAGGCCACUAGGCCCAUCGCGUGGCCUCUUCAGAGCGAGACAAGGAAGAGGUGGCGCCGAGGCCUCGCGCGGGAACGGCCACUUCCGUCUGGUUUACUUCCGGGUCCCUUUCCGAGCUGGCGGUGAGACGCACCAUGGUUCUUUCCCACGUUUAUUGAGCAUCUUCCGGGAUUCCAUGACGUGGGGACGGCCCUCCGCAGCAGCUUGCCUGCGUGUGCAGCUCAUCUGCAUCACCUCAGAGACCCCGGUGCUGUUCUUUGCCAUGGCUGUCCCCAGGGAGCUGCUUGAGAGCCAGGCCAAAGCGUCUGGGCCGAUGAGAGGCUGGUGUCUCAGCACUGGGUUCAAACAGUGUGGCCCAAGGAAGCCAAGAGAUUGAACAUCCCUGACGUGCACUGUGCUUCACACCGCAGCUGUGUGGCGCAGCCUCUUCAUUCUGUGCUACAAACCUGCACGGCGUGUGACUGUUCUGAAGCCCGUAGGCAACUCCAACACAACGAACCCAAGGCCGAUGCAGAAGAUGAUCAUCUCCGAUCACAGCCCUUGACCGGAGCGCGCUUCCCGCAUCUGGAGCCACCGCAUCUGUCCCCUCUGCAGUCUGCUGGGAAUUGGUCUGAAAUCACAUGCGUCCCACUCAGCUACAUUUACAUUUCCUUCUUUUGCUGUUUUUAUACCAGAGCAGUUGAAACCACUCCCAGGAUGAAUUUCUAAACUUAGACUGUCUCAUCCUCAAACGGCAAGAGAGAGUGAUGUGUCUGUGAAUCUGCUGAAUGGGCCGAGGGGUGUCUUUAAAAGAUUGUAUGGGGGAAGAGGCAGGCCCUGCAGAAACCUAUGGACUGGGCUGCUAAAAUACGAGCUUCCCAGGAAGCCACCUUUUGGGAGCCUGGACUAGCCCAGAACCUUUUCUGAGUAGCAGCUGACAACCACGGUCUCUCCCGUGAGCCCACUUCAACCCAGCAAUGAAAGGAAACUUGCUACACUCCAGCAGUAGGAGUAGGAAAUCCCACCAUCCCUACAAAAUAAAGGCUACACAUUUAAGAUCCUCUCAGUGGACGUUUUCCAAAAUAACAUCUUUCACUUAUGCUUGAGCAGGGACAAGAGUCAUUAAAAAGAACAGAUUGUUAAAAUCUCUGUCCAGUGCUUUUGGCCAGCGAGCCGCUCAGGACAAAGGGCUGCCUGGUUUUGGGCCCUAAUUAUCAGGAGGCCAAGGCCCGGCUGCGGGUGAUGGGGCUGCGGGCUUCGAAGCGAGCACCGUCCUCCCCAUUCUUGGUGAAUUUCUUGUUCUUGGCACUUUCCUUGGCAGCCUGAUGGCCAGCACCUGUGCACUCAGACCUGGGGCCCACCCGGGACAGCCAUGCAGAUGUCACGCCGCUUUUUCUGAUUUCUUAUUAGUGGCACUUAAUAGGCAGGUGCUGGGGGCAGUUUGGCUGGCUCCGGAGGGGCCGCAAACACUGCUCCCUUGGUGGGCCAAGGGUCAAAUGAUUUCCAAAGCUCAGCCAGAUAAUUGCUGGUGAUUAGCAAUUUUAAUUACCAGGUGCGAGGGGUCGGGACCCCCUUCCCUGUAAUUGGACAGGUUGUCAACAUCCAUGGAGUUGUGGCCAGGGAGUAUGUUUUACUAAUACUCUCUAGGUCUUUCAAAGUUAAUUCAAUUAAAGCAGCUGAAACCGCCAGAGAUGGCCUGAGAUCUGAUGAGGCACAUUGAACAAGUUUUCGGUAAAACUUGUCUCGCUGGAAAAAAAAGAAAGAAAAAUAAACUUCAAACGCAGCCAUGAAUCCCGUGUGAACAUCGCACGUCCUGUUCGUGCCCUUCUGUGGCUGCGGAAGGUUGGGGCCGUGAACAGUGUUCUUCUGCUGGGUGCCUCACACUGGGACUCAGCCCGUCGGGUGCAGCUUUUCCGUGUGCUGACUCUUAGGGGCUUUGUACGGUCACAGUGAGCAGAAAACCAGUAUCUUCCUGGUGCAGCUUUGGAAGGGGCUGGACACCCACUCAUGGCCACCGAGCGCUGCUCCACCUCUGUGCCUCCAACUCCUCACUGAUAUGGACGUGUAUUCAAAAUUGAUCGAUGUCCCCCGGUUCCUUUCACAGAGGCCAAGAAGCCUGCGAAUAUACUUCACAGUCUCUGAAUAAGUGCAGGAAGAGGGCAUGGCAGGAAUUUCCUGGGGUCGCAGGGCCAGGGAUGGUGACUGCAGCCCAGGCCUCUCUAGUUAUGUGGGAGGCUGCACACAGCCCACACUGACUUAAAGGCAAGCAAGAACUGAUACAGUCACACGGCCAUACUGAGCCUGAGGACAGGGAAUAGCUUGGCUGACACACUCAGGAGGGGGGACUCAAGCAGCCAGGAACACGAGACUUGUGUCGGACUUGGAGGAUGGACAUGGGGAGAAGAGAAGGCACCCUCGGGCAGCAAGUUCAGAGCAAGAGCAGCGGCGAUGGCAGAGUCUUGUCCUUCAUCCCGAGAUCCUGGGGCUAUGCCUGGCUCGGCAGGCUCCGUCUGGAGAUGCAGAAGGCAGGGGUGUGAGGGCCUCACCCAUGACUUUGGUUUCUUGACCCUGUGGUUAGAGGCUUUAAUGAAAAGUCUUUUCUUUCCACGACACAUUUCUAACACUCUUUGCCCACAAUACAGACAGUUACUUUAAGGGCCAACAGGAAUAAUUGGUUCAUGAUGUGGGAUCCGAGUGCUCCAUUCUGAGCUCCCACAGAAGGAUCUGUGUGCUUCCAGAAACAGUUUGGAUGUAUGUUUAAAGGAGCUUGGAGGAGGAUUGCCCCGUGGGGUAGAUGGGUAGGGCCUUGUGGCCUGGGGACAGUGACCCAAGGCAGCUUCUAGCCAAUGGGUGUUGUUCACAUGGAGUGUGAGCAAGUGUGAGCCAGCUGUGGGUGGCUGGGCCCCAGUGGGCCAAGCAUGAGGCUGAGGAGGGCUGGAGGAUGUGCUGUCAGGGCGGCUGCUGGGAUAGGUAUGGAAACAUGCGUCCCUGACCCUUUUCUUUGUGAUUUAAAAAACAUAUUUUGGCUCCAUGUGGUGGCUCACACCUCUAAUCCCAGCACUUUGGGAGGCUGAGGUGAGCAGAUCACCUGCGGUCAGGAGUUUGAGACCAGCCUGGCCAACAUGGUGAAAUGCCAUCUCAACUAAAAAUACAAAAAUUAGCCAGGCGUGGUAGCAUGCACCUGUAGUCCCAGCUACUGAGGAGGCUGAGGCAGGAGAAUCACUUGAACCCAGGAGGUAGAGGCUGCAGUGAGCCAAGAUAGCACCACUGCACUUUAGAUUGGGUGACAGAGCGAGACCCUAUCUCCAAAAGACCGAAAACAAAAUAAACAAAAAACAUACUGUAAACAUGUUCACAAUGGUGUAAUUACCCGCAUACCUUCUCCCCACACCUGAUCCACCUGUAGUCAUUUUCUGGUGCUCUCCAUACCUGUAGAGAGCACUGGCCACCAUGCCCUGGGUGGCUGUGUACGUGGCCUGCCCCAGCCCCUUAUCCCCUGAUGGUCUCCUGAGUGAGAGGACCGAGCUGGGGGAGUACACCCAGGAGACUCUGAGCCCCAGCAGAACAAAGCGAGCUCUGCCUUCAGCACUUUGGCCUUGAGACUUGUGCCUGAGAGCAGGAGUGGGACCCUUUGUGCCCAGGGUAGGCUAGGGCAGCUCCUGGGGUUCAUUACCUUUGUUAGAGUGACUACAGGCAAGUCCAUAGAGAAUGUU
Long non-coding RNA from Callithrix jacchus (white-tufted-ear marmoset), 4475 nucleotides. RefSeq lists it as uncharacterized. The record is from RefSeq and is a predicted model, not a curated record. Lineage: Eukaryota; Metazoa; Chordata; Mammalia; Primates; Cebidae.